Molecule: ribosomal RNA, 860 nt
Filed under: Halobacillus trueperi
Lineage: Bacteria; Bacillati; Bacillota; Bacilli; Caryophanales; Bacillaceae
Description: bacterial SSU rRNA
Rfam family: Bacterial small subunit ribosomal RNA
Source: RNAcentral
UGACGCUCGUGGAACGAGCGGCGGACGGGUGAGUAACACGUGGGCAACCUGCCUGUAAGAUCGGGAUAACUCCGGGAAACCGGGGCUAAUACCGGGUAAUACUUUCUUUCGCAUGAAGGAAAGUUGAAAGAUGGCUUCUCGCUAUCACUUACAGAUGGGCCCGCGGCGCAUUAGCUAGUUGGUGAGGUAACGGCUCACCAAGGCGACGAUGCGUAGCCGACCUGAGAGGGUGAUCGGCCACACUGGGACUGAGACACGGCCCAGACUCCUACGGGAGGCAGCAGUAGGGAAUCUUCCGCAAUGGACGAAAGUCUGACGGAGCAACGCCGCGUGAACGAUGAAGGUCUUCGGAUCGUAAAGUUCUGUUGUUAGGGAAGAACAAGUACCGUGCGAAUAGAGCGGUACCUUGACGGUACCUAACGAGGAAGCCCCGGCUAACUACGUGCCAGCAGCCGCGGUAAUACGUAGGGGGCAAGCGUUGUCCGGAAUUAUUGGGCGUAAAGCGCGCGCAGGCGGUUCCUUAAGUCUGAUGUGAAAGCCCACGGCUCAACCGUGGAGGGUCAUUGGAAACUGGGGAACUUGAGGACAGAAGAGGAGAGUGGAAUUCCACGUGUAGCGGUGAAAUGCGUAGAUAUGUGGAGGAACACCAGUGGCGAAGGCGACUCUCUGGUCUGUUUCUGACGCUGAGGUGCGAAAGCGUGGGUAGCAAACAGGAUUAGAUACCCUGGUAGUCCACGCCGUAAACGAUGAGUGCUAGGUGUUAGGGGGCUUCCACCCCUUAGUGCUGAAGUUAACGCAUUAAGCACUCCGCCUGGGGAGUACGGCCGCAAGGCUGAAACUCAAAGGAAUUGACGGGGGCC